GAAAUUCAUGUAUUUUCCUCUGGUGUCAAAAAACGGCUUAGAUAGAAAAUGUUCUGAAUGUGAUCCUGGCAUAUUUGCGACCUUGCUUUGAAAGCACCCUGUGGUUUGUUUGGAGACAGGAACACUCAUUGUUUCCUAUGAAUUCAACCCACCUAAUCUAGAGCAAUUUCAUAUUGACUUCAGAGAAAGACAGCUGAAUGGCAAGGCCUGUAUUUUACGGCAGGUUGAAGAUGUUUUAAAGUCAGACUGCUGGAACCUUCAGCAGAAUGUUGGCAGAAAAGAGUCUGGGACAAUAUGAAGUUGAGGUGGAAGAUGGCGGAAAGCAUUUACAGUUGGAAUAAGUAGGAGCUCUGCAGGGGUUGGUGAAGUUAUGAGAAUGGGAAAGCUUGGGACUGGGCAGAAAGAAUCCAACCUUCCCUGCUGCAGUGGAAUCCAAGCGGCUUCCAAGAUGAUCAGAUCUGAGAAUGGCAAAGCAUUUGCCAAUCUGAUGAUUUCUUAACAUGGAAUAACCAUCCAAGGGAACCUCCCUCACGCUAUCAUGACUCUCCAUCUAAUCAAUGAGAUAAGGAGUGGAAAGUCCAUAUUGCAUCUACAGAAGCGAUGAGAUGAGGAACCCAGUGUCCUUCAGAUGUUGCUGGAUUACAGCUCCCGUCGUCUGGACCAUUGGUCAUGCUGGCUGUGGCUGUUGGGAGUUGGAGCCCAGCAACAUAUGGAGGGCUGCAGGCUCCCUGUCCCUAAUCUACAGUGCAUUCAAACAACCUAAUCCAGAAUAGUUCCCUCCUGACAUCAGAGAAAGGCCUGUGUGCCUUGCCAUGGGGCCCUAUUGCCAUAAGCUGCAUAGAGAACUCCUGGCAGAGUGAGCAGGAAGAGGUCCGAAGGAGGGGCCCAGCCGUCUGCAAUGGGAGGGGGUUGAAACCAGAGAAGACAUCAGUAGUUUGUCCAGUGCCGGCUGUGAGAGAUGAGAUGGUGUCUGAAAGUGAACCUCCCAUCGCCACAUCAUCUCCGCCACCCACCCCUGAGCUGUCUCCUGACUGAAUUCUGAUUUUAUAGUUUUAACUCAUUUUGAGCUUCAUUUCAUUGAGUCUCUUGUACGCUGCUCAGAGACAACUGUAGUUAAGUGGUAUACAAACUGGCAAAACAAAAUAAACAAACUGAUAAACUGAUAAACUGAUUAUUUAUUAUUUUAAA
Rhineura floridana is the source of this 1188-nucleotide long non-coding RNA. RefSeq lists it as uncharacterized. The record is from RefSeq and is a predicted model, not a curated record. Lineage: Eukaryota; Metazoa; Chordata; Lepidosauria; Squamata; Rhineuridae. The transcript is spliced from 4 exons.